UACGUAGGUGGCAAGCGUUAUCCGGAUUCACUGGGCGUAAAGCGCGUGCAGGCGGUUUCGUAAGUCGGACGUGAAAGCUCCUGGCUUAACUGGGAGAGGUCGUUCGAUACUGCGGGGCUUGAGGUCGGGAGAGGGACGUGGAAUUCCCGGUGUAGUGGUGGAAUGCGUAGAUAUCGGGAGGAACACCAGUGGCGAAGGCGACGUCCUGGCCCGCACCUGACGCUGAGACGCGAAAGCGUGGGUAGCAAACGGG
Molecule: ribosomal RNA, 253 nt
Filed under: uncultured bacterium
Lineage: Bacteria
Also listed under: 2 other names
Description: partial 16S ribosomal RNA
Rfam family: Bacterial small subunit ribosomal RNA
Source: RNAcentral